AGAGUUUGAUCAUGGCUCAGAUUGAACGCUGGCGGCAUGCCUUACACAUGCAAGUCGAACGGUAACAGGUCUUUCGGGAUGCUGACGAGUGGCGAACGGGUGAGUAAUACAUCGGAACGUGCCUAGUAGUGUGGGAUAACUACUCGAAAGAGUGGCUAAUACCUCAUGAGAUCUAUGGAUGAAAGCAGGGGACCUUCGGGCCUUGUGCUACUAGAGCGGCCGAUGGCAGACUAGGUAGUUGGUGGGAUAAAAGCUUACCAAGCCUACGAUCUGUAGCUGGUCUGAGAGGACGAUCAGCCACACUGGGACUGAGACACGGCCCAGACUCCUACGGGAGGCAGCAGUGGGGAAUUUUGGACAAUGGGCGCAAGCCUGAUCCAGCAAUGCCGCGUGCAGGAUGAAGGCCUUCGGGUUGUAAACUGCUUUUGUACGGAACGAAAAGUCUUGGGUUAAUACCCUGGGAUCAUGACGGUACCGUAAGAAUAAGCACCGGCUAACUACGCGCCAGCAGCCGCGGUAAUACGUAGGGUGCAAGCGUUAAUCGGAAUUACUGGGCGUAAAGCGUGCGCAGGCGGUUUUGUAAGACAGUGGUGAAAUCCCCGGGCUCAACCUGGGAACUGCCAUUGUGACUGCAAGGCUGGAGUGCGGCAGAGGGGGAUGGAAUUCCGCGUGUAGCAGUGAAAUGCGUAGAUAUGCGGAGGAACACCGAUGGCGAAGGCAAUCCCCUGGGCCUGCACUGACGCUCAUGCA
Molecule: ribosomal RNA, 750 nt
Filed under: uncultured bacterium
Lineage: Bacteria
Description: bacterial SSU rRNA
Rfam family: Bacterial small subunit ribosomal RNA
Source: RNAcentral